UACAGAGGUCCCAAGCGUUGUUCGGAUUCACUGGGCGUAAAGGGUGCGUAGGCGGUCGGGUAAGUCUGAUGUGAAAUCUCACAGCUUAACUGUGAAACUGCAUUGGAUACUAUCCGGCUCGAGGAAUGGAGGGGAGACUGGAAUACUUGGUGUAGCAGUGAAAUGCGUAGAUAUCAAGAGGAACACCAGUGGCGAAGGCGAGUCCCUGGACAACUUCUGACGCUGAGGCACGAAAGCUAGGGGAGCAAACAGG
Molecule: ribosomal RNA, 253 nt
Filed under: uncultured bacterium
Lineage: Bacteria
Description: partial 16S ribosomal RNA
Rfam family: Bacterial small subunit ribosomal RNA
Source: RNAcentral